UGCUACUACGUGCUAUUCGGAAAUGCUCCAAAUAUCUACUCUACUAUAUGAAUCCGUUUCACUACUCAUAGUUAUUCGGAUUAGUGUCAAAGCUUGUAUCGACGUAACCCUUUACGACGAACUCUUUAACCACCUCCAUAAUCGAGAAAAAUUCCUUAGUCCAUUUGUUACUAAGGAUAAAUUUUGACCGCUGCUAGUGAUUCAAUCAUGGAUCACUCUCUGUACCUCUCAACAGAUUUUGAGUCAAGGCACACAUCAGGUGCGGUACACAGCAUGGCAUACUUUAGAUUCUACGGCUAAGGCAUAGAAGACGACGUUCGUCUAUUCUCUUUAUUCUGCCGUGGUCGGGUUUUGAGUCUUACUCAAAUUCACACCUUAC
RNAcentral lists this long non-coding RNA (379 nucleotides) under Hordeum vulgare. RNAcentral's name for it is "long non-coding RNA (HVUL_LNC001448)". The record is from RNAcentral. Lineage: Eukaryota; Viridiplantae; Streptophyta; Magnoliopsida; Poales; Poaceae.